AACGAACGCUGGCGGCGUGCCUAACACAUGCAAGUCGUGCGAGAAAGUUCCUUCGGGAGCGAGUAAAGCGGCGCACGGGUGAGUAACACGUAGGUAACCUGCCCCCCAGUCUGGAACAACUAGAGGAAACUCUAGCUAAUGCCGGAUGAGACCACGAUCCCUUCGGGGGUUGCGGCCAAAGAUGGCCUCUACUUGUAAGCUAUCGCUGAGGGAUGGGCCUGCGGCCAUUAGCUUGUUGGUGAGGUAACGGCUCACCAAGGCUGUGAUGGCUAGCUGGUCUGAGAGGAUGACCAGCCACACUGGGACUGAGACACGGCCCAGACUCCUACGGGAGGCAGCAGUGGGGAAUAUUGCGCAAUGGGCGAAAGCCUGACGCAGCGACGCCGCGUGGGUGAUGAAGGCCUGGUC
Molecule: ribosomal RNA, 408 nt
Filed under: uncultured bacterium
Lineage: Bacteria
Description: bacterial SSU rRNA
Rfam family: Bacterial small subunit ribosomal RNA
Source: RNAcentral